RNAcentral lists this ribosomal RNA (524 nucleotides) under Salmonella enterica. RNAcentral's name for it is "bacterial LSU rRNA". It matches the Rfam family "Bacterial large subunit ribosomal RNA", at positions 30 to 591 of the family's 2925-position model. The record is from RNAcentral. Lineage: Bacteria; Pseudomonadati; Pseudomonadota; Gammaproteobacteria; Enterobacterales; Enterobacteriaceae.
GCCCUGGCAGUCAGAGGCGAUGAAGGGCGUGCUAAUCUGCGAUAAGCGCCGGUAAGGUGAUAUGAACCGUUAUAACCGGCGAUACCCGAAUGGGGAAACCCAGUGUGAUUCGUCACACUAUCAUUAACUGAAUCCAUAGGUUAAUGAGGCGAACCGGGGGAACUGAAACAUCUAAGUACCCCGAGGAAAAGAAAUCAACCGAGAUUCCCCCAGUAGCGGCGAGCGAACGGGGAGGAGCCCAGAGCCUGAAUCAGCAUGUGUGUUAGUGGAAGCGUCUGGAAAGGCGCGCGAUACAGGGUGACAGCCCCGUACACAAAAGCGCAUGUGCUGUGAGCUCGAUGAGUAGGGCGGGACACGUGGUAUCCUGUCUGAAUAUGGGGGGACCAUCCUCCAAGGCUAAAUACUCCUGACUGACCGAUAGUGAACCAGUACCGUGAGGGAAAGGCGAAAAGAACCCCGGCGAGGGGAGUGAAAAAGAACCUGAAACCGUGUACGUACAAGCAGUGGGAGCACAGGUUUACCUG